GGAGGGGUGGCAGAGCGGCCGAUUGCAUCGGUCUUGAAAACCGACAACGUCGCAAGACGUUCGCGGGUUCGAAUCCCGCCCCCUCCG
Molecule: transfer RNA, 87 nt
Filed under: Gemmataceae bacterium
Lineage: Bacteria; Pseudomonadati; Planctomycetota; Planctomycetia; Gemmatales; Gemmataceae
Description: tRNA-Ser
Rfam family: tRNA
About the family: Transfer RNA (tRNA) molecules are approximately 80 nucleotides in length. Their secondary structure includes four short double-helical elements and three loops (D, anti-codon, and T loops). Further hydrogen bonds mediate the characteristic L-shaped molecular structure. tRNAs have two regions of fundamental functional importance: the anti-codon, which is responsible for specific mRNA codon recognition, and the 3' end, to which the tRNAs corresponding amino acid is attached (by aminoacyl-tRNA synthetases). tRNAs cope with the degeneracy of the genetic code in two manners: having more than one tRNA (with a specific anti-codon) for a particular amino acid; and 'wobble' base-pairing, i.e. permitting non-standard base-pairing at the 3rd anti-codon position.
Source: RNAcentral